GGGGAGGGGGUCUCGCGGGCCGGAGGAAAGCGAGAGGGCGCGAGCCGGCUUGGCGCGCGUGCGCGUCGCCGGGGAAAGGGGAGGGGGAAGAGCGCCCGGGCGGGAGCUCCCGAAGGGGGAGGGGGGGGAGGAGGGAGCGGCGGCGCGAGCUGUCCGCGCGCACCGGGGCGUUCAGCUCCGGGCGGGAGAGGCGAGAAUAAAAAAAGGUGAAUCUCCCGCCCCUCGCCUUUGGAGUUGGGAAAGAGCAGCGCGGGCGCUCACGCGCGCCAAGGACUUAUGGUCGCUAGAUCUCAAGCAGCCCGGAAGGCUGCCGGCCGCUGUCGCUUCACAAUGAGCGUGUGAAGCGCUGGGGGUGGAGCCGAAGAAGCAGAGAGGAAGGAAGAGCCGGCCGCCCCGCCUAGGCCGCCGGCGUAGCGUCGGGAUACCUCCGCAGUCGUGUGAGAAGUCACGACGUUUGCUCAAACUCCUGCUUAAGUCUUGAAAACUUUUGAAUCUGACUUUAUUUUCAUAAAAGACUAUUGCUUCAGCUAGAUUCGUACAACUGAGAAAUUCUGUGAACUCUUGAAAAUUUUGAGAAAAACUUGUGAAGUUGAGCUUUUCACCAAAACUGAAGGGCGUGGGACUUCUCUGGUGGUCCAGUGGUAAAGAAUCUGCCUUCCAAUGCAGGGGACGGGAGUUCAAACCCUGGUCAGGGAACUAAGAUCCCACAGGCCGUGGGGAAACUAAGUCCAUGCGCCACAACUACUGAGCUCGCACGCCUCAGCUAGAGCGCCUGCAUGCUGCAAACUACAGAGCCCACGUGCUCUGGAGCCUGCACGCCACAACUAGAGAAGAGAAAACCCACAUGCCACAACUGGAGAGAAGCCAGCAAGCCACAACAAAGAACCUGCGUGCCGCAACUAAAACCUGACACAGCCAAAAAUAAAUAAAUAAUCUUUAAAACAAAAACAAAAAC
Balaenoptera acutorostrata (minke whale) is the source of this 955-nucleotide long non-coding RNA. RefSeq lists it as uncharacterized. The transcript has 2 exons. The record is from RefSeq and is a predicted model, not a curated record. NCBI's taxonomy places the organism in Eukaryota, Metazoa, Chordata, Mammalia, Artiodactyla, Balaenopteridae.